UGGGGAAUAUUGGACAAUGGGCGAAAGACUGAUCCAGCCAUGCCGCGUGUGUGAAGAAGGUCUUCGGAUUGUAAAGCACUUUAAGUUGGGAGGAAGGGCAUUAACCUAAUACGUUAGUGUUUUGACGUUACCGACAGAAUAAGCACCGGCUAACUCUGUGCCAGCAGCCGCGGUAAUACAGAGGGUGCAAGCGUUAAUCGGAGUUACUGGGCGUAAAGCGCGCGUAGGUGGUUUGUUAAGUUGGAUGUGAAAUCCCCGGGCUCAACCUGGGAACUGCAUUCAAAACUGACUGACUAGAGUAUGGUAGAGGGUGGUGGAAUUUCCUGUGUAGCGGUGAAAUGCGUAGAUAUAGGAAGGAACACCAGUGGCGAAGGCGACCACCUGGACUAAUACUGACACUGAGGUGCGAAAGCGUGGGGAGCAAACA
RNAcentral lists this ribosomal RNA (427 nucleotides) under uncultured bacterium. Its description in RNAcentral is "partial 16S ribosomal RNA". It matches the Rfam family "Bacterial small subunit ribosomal RNA", at positions 355 to 774 of the family's 1533-position model. The record is from RNAcentral.